Molecule: ribosomal RNA, 497 nt
Filed under: uncultured bacterium
Lineage: Bacteria
Description: partial 16S ribosomal RNA
Rfam family: Bacterial small subunit ribosomal RNA
Source: RNAcentral
GAUGAACGCUGGCGGCGUGCCUAAUACAUGCAAGUCGAGCGAACAGACGAGGAGCUUGCUCCUCUGACGUUAGCGGCGGACGGGUGAGUAACACGUGGAUAACCUACCUAUAAGACUGGGAUAACUUCGGGAAACCGGAGCUAAUACCGGAUAAUAUCUUGAACCGCAUGGUUCAAUAGUGAAAGACGGUUUUGCUGUCACUUAUAGAUGGAUCCGCGCCGCAUUAGCUAGUUGGUAAGGUAACGGCUUACCAAGGCAACGAUGGGUAGCCGACCUGAGGGGGUGAUCGGCCCCACUGGAACUGGGAGACGGUCCAGACUCCUACGGGAGGCAGAAGUAGGGAAGCUUCCGCAAUGGGCGAAAGCCUGACGGAGCAACGCCGCGUGAGUGAUGAAGGUCUUCGGAUCGUAAAACUCUGUUAUUAGGGAAGAACAAAUGUGUAAGUAACUAUGCACGUCUUGACGGUACCUAAUCAGAAAGCCACGGCUAACUACGUG